Molecule: long non-coding RNA, 787 nt
Filed under: Elaeis guineensis (African oil palm)
Lineage: Eukaryota; Viridiplantae; Streptophyta; Magnoliopsida; Arecales; Arecaceae
Description: long non-coding RNA (EGUI_LNC070045)
Source: RNAcentral
CUUCGAUGCUUAAGUCAGUACUCUGCCUCAACAAAAAUAGAGCACUCGAAUAGAAUUUUAGUAGAGUUUCGAGAUAGAGUUCAGAGCUUAGAGAAGAACGUAUCUGGGGGUCUCCUUUUUGUAGAUGGAGAGCGUAACUGAUUGACAGCAAUGUCUGUAACUGCCUGGUCGUGGGCCGUUCAGGGCCUCACGGAGUUUGUUAUGGAGAGUAGUGGCAUCAGGGGGCCGUUCAGGGCCAUGUGGAGUUUGUUAUAAAGAGUGGAGUGAUGUCCGUUGUCACGACUUACCGGAGAGUUCGGACCGGAUGGCUGAAGCUUGACUGGGACGUCUGAUGGAGCGUGCUGGCUCUCUGUCUCAGUAAUCUAAGAGAGUCUCGGAUGUCACCGAGGUUGCUGACGAGUCCAUUGUUGUCGGGUGUCUCGGGUGCUGAUACUGCAGGCGAAAGUCAUCUGCCGUAGAAGCUCGGAUGGGGACUUUCUGUUGGAGAAGUCCGACAGGAGUCCGAUUGCUAGAGAAGUCCAUCUGUAUUUUGCCUGAUAUAGAAGCUCGUCUGAGGACUGUCCGCCAGAGAGGUCUGAUUUCAUGAGGAAUCCGAUAGAGGGUCGACCGACAGUGGAGUUUGGAUGGCAUUAUGGAGGUUCAUCCGCUGGAGGAGUCUUGAGGACACUAUGGAAGGUCGAAUGUUGGAGAAGUCCAAGAUUCAAUUCUAUUGUAGAAGCUCAAAUGGAGUCUGGCUCUUGUAGGAGUCUGGAGACAUCAUGGAAGGCCAGUCAUCAUGGAAGCUCGG